CCUACGUGAGGCAGCAGUAGGGAAUCUUCCACAAUGGGCGAAAGCCUGAUGGAGCAACGCCGCGUGGGUGAAGAAGGUCUUCGGAUCGUAAAACCCUGUUGUUAGAGAAGAAAGUGCGUGAGAGUAACUGUUCACGUUUCGACGGUAUCUAACCAGAAAGCCACGGCUAACUACGUGCCAGCAGCCGCGGUAAUACGUAGGUGACAAGCGUUAUCCGGAUUUAUUGGGCGUAAAGGGAACGCAGGCGGUCUUUUAAGUCUGAUGUGAAAGCCUUCGGCUUAACCGGAGUAGUGCAUUGGAAACUGGGAGACUUGAGUGCAGAAGAGGAGAGUGGAACUCCAUGUGUAGCGGUGAAAUGCGUAGAUAUAUGGAAGAACACCAGUGGCGAAAGCGGCUCUCUGGUCUGUAACUGACGCUGAGGUUCGAAAGCGUGGGUAGCAAACAGGAUUAGAUACCCUUGUAGUC
This 465-nucleotide ribosomal RNA is filed under the name uncultured bacterium. Its description in RNAcentral is "partial 16S ribosomal RNA". It matches the Rfam family "Bacterial small subunit ribosomal RNA", at positions 338 to 795 of the family's 1533-position model. The record is from RNAcentral.